AUGGUUUGGAAAGUUUGGGCUCCUCUGAAGAUCAAAUUCUUUGCUUGGUUGGCUAUUCAAGAUAGGAUCUGGACUGCGGACCGCCUAGAGAGGCGCGGGUGGGCCAACUGUGGUCUGUGCCCUCUUUGCUCUAGGGAGCAGGAAACGGGUGCUCAUCUUCUCUUCAAGUGUCGCUUCACUAUUCGGCUUUGGAGGUCUCUCGCGGCCAAGCUUGGCCUUCAUCACAUUGACACCUCCGGAUGGCAUCUUCAUGACUCCGUCCUGGAUUGGUGGAAAGAUGGUACUGGGAGACACGUCCCCAACAGGAGUGCCUUGGCCUCCCUCACACUCCUCGUCUCCUGGACCAUCUGAAAUGAACGUAAUGCUAGGGUGUUCCGACACAAAAGUGCUCCGCCGCCUAUUCUUCUUAACACAAUCCUUGAGGAGGCCAAGCUUUGGGUUACAGCUGGUGCAAAGAAACUAGGGCCUAUUGUAUUUUGUGAGUAG
This 486-nucleotide ribosomal RNA is filed under the name Triticum aestivum (bread wheat). RNAcentral describes it as "partial small subunit ribosomal RNA". The record is from RNAcentral. Lineage: Eukaryota; Viridiplantae; Streptophyta; Magnoliopsida; Poales; Poaceae.